GACGGAGGAUGCAAGCGUUAUCCGGAAUGAUUGGGCGUAAAGCGUCUGCAGGUGGCAGUUCAAGUCUGCUGUCAAAGACCGGUGCUUAACUUCGGAAAGGCAGUGGAAACUGAACAGCUAGAGUAUGGUAGGGGCAGAGGGAAUUCCUGGUGUAGCGGUGAAAUGCGUAGAGAUCAGGAAGAACAUCGGUGGCGAAGGCGGCUUCCUGGCCUGUUCUUGACGCUGAGGCGCGAAAGCUAGGGGAGCAAACGGG
This 253-nucleotide ribosomal RNA is filed under the name uncultured bacterium. RNAcentral's name for it is "partial 16S ribosomal RNA". It matches the Rfam family "Bacterial small subunit ribosomal RNA", at positions 524 to 776 of the family's 1533-position model. The record is from RNAcentral.